This 116-nucleotide non-coding RNA is filed under the name Corynebacterium humireducens. Its description in RNAcentral is "TPP sequence". It matches the Rfam family "TPP riboswitch aptamer (THI element)". From Rfam's summary of the family: Vitamin B(1) in its active form thiamin pyrophosphate (TPP) is an essential coenzyme that is synthesised by coupling of pyrimidine and thiazole moieties in bacteria. The previously detected thiamin-regulatory element, thi box was extended, resulting in a new, highly conserved RNA secondary structure, the THI element, which is widely distributed in eubacteria and also occurs in some archaea. Analysis of operon structures identified a large number of new candidate thiamin-regulated genes, mostly transporters, in various prokaryotic organisms. The record is from RNAcentral. Lineage: Bacteria; Bacillati; Actinomycetota; Actinomycetes; Mycobacteriales; Corynebacteriaceae.
UCCCGACCCCACGGGCGCCCGAGGCAUCGGGCUGAGAUCGCGCUAGUGACGCCGCGCGAGCACCGUAUGAACCUGUCUGGUUAGCACCAGCGUAGGAAGAGAGGCGAUGGCAUGCA